CAGUAAAUAAUUUAAAUAUAAAAUACUAAUUUUGGAAAUUAGCAAUAACUAAUCUUUUUACUGA
Molecule: transfer RNA, 64 nt
Filed under: Bemisia afer
Lineage: Eukaryota; Metazoa; Arthropoda; Insecta; Hemiptera; Aleyrodidae
Description: tRNA-Pro
Source: RNAcentral